CAUUUUCUUUGCCGCUUAUCCUCACGAGGGUCGCAGGGAGUGCUGGAACCUAUCCCAGCUGUCAACAGGCAAGAGGCAGGGGACACCCUGAACUGGUUGCCAGUCAAUCGCAGGGCACAUUGAGACGAACAGCCGCACACACAAUCACACCUAGGGGCAAUGUAGAGUGUCCAAUUAAUGUUGCAUGUUUUUGGGAUCUGGGAGGAAACCGAAGUGCCCGGAGGAAACCCACGCAGGCAAGGGAAGAAGAUGCAAACUCCACACAGGCGAGUCCGGGAUUGAACCCGGGACCUCAGAAUUGUGAGGCCAACGCUUUAACAGGCGGAACAGAUGUAGCAGUUCUGAGUCGAGUCCGAAGAUGGAAGACCGAAGUCCAGGAUGGUCCCGUCCUCUUGCGCUGCCAUUCCAACCUGCGUGAAUGGAUCCAGCAUAUCCAGUUUGCCGUCCAGGCUCCGACUUGACCGUUGGCGUGCGGGACGAUUCGGGACGGUUGCUGGAAACGCCCUCCGCCGCAGAAGUGAUGUCUCCCUCUGAU
This is a long non-coding RNA of Syngnathoides biaculeatus (alligator pipefish), 535 nucleotides long. RefSeq lists it as uncharacterized. The record is from RefSeq and is a predicted model, not a curated record. The transcript is spliced from 3 exons. NCBI's taxonomy places the organism in Eukaryota, Metazoa, Chordata, Actinopteri, Syngnathiformes, Syngnathidae.